CCUACGGGGGGCAGCAGUCGAGAAUCAUUCACAAUGGGGGAAACCCUGAUGGUGUGACGCCGCGUGGGGGAAUGAAGGUCUUCGGAUUGUAAACCCCUGUCAUGUGGGAGCAAAUUAAAAAGAUAGUACCACAAGAGGAAGAGACGGCUAACUCUGUGCCAGCAGCCGCGGUACUACAGAGGUCUCAAGCGUUGUUCGGAAUCACUGGGCGUAAAGCGUGCGUAGGCUGUUUCGUAAGUCGUGUGUGAAAGGCGCGGGCUCAACCCGCGGACGGCACAUGAUACUGCGAGACUAGAGUAAUGGAGGGGGAGGCGGAAUUCUAGGUGUAGCAGUGAAAUGCGUAGAUAUCGAGAGGAACACUCGUGGCGAAGGCGGGUUCCUGGACAUUAACUGACGCUGAGGCACGAAGGCCAGGGGAGCGAAAGGGAUUAGAUACCCUGGUAGUC
RNAcentral lists this ribosomal RNA (446 nucleotides) under uncultured bacterium. Its description in RNAcentral is "partial 16S ribosomal RNA". It matches the Rfam family "Bacterial small subunit ribosomal RNA", at positions 338 to 795 of the family's 1533-position model. The record is from RNAcentral.